GACUGGAUAGCUCAGUCGGUAGAGCAUAAGGCUCUUAAUCUCGGGGCUGUGGGUUCGAGUCCCGUGUUGGGCG
Podarcis lilfordi (Lilford's wall lizard) is the source of this 73-nucleotide non-coding RNA. The record is from the annotation of a GenBank genome assembly. Lineage: Eukaryota; Metazoa; Chordata; Lepidosauria; Squamata; Lacertidae.